This 497-nucleotide ribosomal RNA is filed under the name uncultured bacterium. RNAcentral's name for it is "partial 16S ribosomal RNA". It matches the Rfam family "Bacterial small subunit ribosomal RNA", at positions 28 to 507 of the family's 1533-position model. The record is from RNAcentral.
GAUGAACGCUGGCGGCGUGCCUAAUACAUGCAAGUCGAGCGAACAGACGAGGAGUUUGCUCCUCUGACGGUAGAGGCGGACGGGUGAGUAACAAGUGGAUAACCUACCUAUAAGACUGGGAUAACUUCGGAAAACCGGAGCUAAUACCGGAUAAUAUAUUGAACUGCAUGGUUCAAUAGUGAAAGACGGUUUUGCUGUCACUUAUAGAUGGAUCCGCGCCGCAUUAGCUAGUUGGUAAGGUAACGGCUUACCAAGGCAACGAUGCGUAGCAGACCUGAGAGGGUGAUCGGCGACACUGGAACUGAGACACGGUCCAGACUCCUACGGGAGGCAGCAGUAGGGAAUGUGCCGCAUUGGGCGAAAGCGUGACGGAGCAACGCCGAGUGAGUGAUGAGGGUGUUCGGAUCGUAAAACUCUGUUAUUAGGGAAGAACAAGUGUGUAAGUAGCUAUGCGCGUCGUGACGGUACCUGAUCAGGAAGCCACGGCUAACUACGUG